This 425-nucleotide ribosomal RNA is filed under the name uncultured bacterium. Its description in RNAcentral is "partial 16S ribosomal RNA". It matches the Rfam family "Bacterial small subunit ribosomal RNA", at positions 354 to 796 of the family's 1533-position model. The record is from RNAcentral.
GUGGGGAAUCUUGCGCAAUGGGCGAAAGCCUGACGCAGCCAUGCCGCGUGAAUGAUGAAGGUCUUAGGAUUGUAAAAUUCUUUCACCGGGGACGAUCAUGAAGGUACCCGGAGAAGAAGCUCCGGCUAACUUCGUGCCAGCAGCCGCGGUAAUACGAAGGGGGCUAGCGUUGCUCGGAAUUACUGGGCGUAAAGGGCGCGUAGGCGGACAGCUUAGUCAGAGGUGAAAGCCCAGGGCUCAACCUUGGAAUUGCCUUUGAUACUGGCUGUCUUGAGUUUGGGAGAGGUGAGUGGAACUCCGAGUGUAGAGGUGAAAUUCGUAGAUAUUCGGAAGAACACCAGUGGCGAAGGCGACUCACUGGCCCAAUACUGACGCUGAGGCGCGAAAGCGUGGGGAGCAAACAGGAUUAGAAACCCGGGUAGUCC